CGAGGCCCCACCGACGGGUAACCGUCACGGGGUCCUAGUGGCGAACGGGUGAGUAACACGUGAGGAACCUGCCCCGGAGUCCGGAAUAGCCCAAGGAAACCUGGAUUAAUACCGGAUACCCUCGACCGGUCGCAUGUCUGGUCGAGGAAAGGUCCGCCGCUCUGGGAUGGUCUCGCGGCCUAUCAGCUUGUUGGUGAGGUAACGGCCCACCAAGGCUACGACGGGUAGCUGGUCUGAGAGGACGACCAGCCACACUGGGACUGAGACACGGCCCAGACUCCUACGGGAGGCAGCAGCAGGGAAUAUUGCACAAUGGGCGCAAGCCUGAUGCAGCGACGCCGCGUGAGGGAUGAAGGCCUCCGGGUCGUAAACCUCUUUCAGGAGGGACGAAGCGAAAGUGACGGUACCUCCAGAAGAAGCCCCGGCCAACUACGUGCCAGCAGCCGCGGUAAUACGUAGGGGGCGAGCGUUGUCCGGAUUCAUUGGGCGUAAAGAGCUCGUAGGCGGCUCGGUAAGCCGGCCGUGAAAUCCCGGAGCUCAACUCCGGGCGGCCGGUCGAUACUGCUGUGGCUAGGGUCCGGUAGAGGAGAGUGGAAUUCCCGGUGUAGCGGUGAA
RNAcentral lists this ribosomal RNA (615 nucleotides) under uncultured bacterium. RNAcentral describes it as "bacterial SSU rRNA". It matches the Rfam family "Bacterial small subunit ribosomal RNA", at positions 63 to 685 of the family's 1533-position model. The record is from RNAcentral.